AUAGAUACCCGGUAGUCCUAGCCGUAAACGAUGUAUACUUGGUGUAGACGGAUUCAACCCUGUCUUUGCCGUAGCUAACGCGAUAAGUAUACCGCCUGGGGAGUACGCUCGCAAGGGUGAAACUCAAAAGAAUUGACGGGGACCCGCACAAGCAGUGGAGCAUGUGGUUUAAUUCGAUGCAACGCGAAGAACCUUACCCAGACUUGACAUAUAGUGGACCGCUCUAGAAAUAGAGCUUUCCUUCGGGACCGCUAAACAGGUGCUGCAUGGCUGUCGUCAGCUCGUGCCGUGAGGUGUUGGGUUAAGUCCCGCAACGAGCGCAACCCUUAUCGUUAGUUGCCAACACGUAAUGGUGGGAACUCUAGCGAGACUGCCUGGGUUAACCAGGAGGAAGGUGAGGAUGAUGUCAAGUCCGCAUGGCCCUUAUGUCUGGGGCUACACACGUGCUACAAUGGCCGGUACAGAAGGUGGCGAAGCCGCGAGGUGAAGCAAAUCCGCGAAAACCGGUCCCAGUUCAGAUUGGAGU
This 526-nucleotide ribosomal RNA is filed under the name uncultured bacterium. RNAcentral's name for it is "bacterial SSU rRNA". It matches the Rfam family "Bacterial small subunit ribosomal RNA", at positions 778 to 1304 of the family's 1533-position model. The record is from RNAcentral.